GACGAACGCUGGCGGCGUGCUUAACACAUGCAAGUCGAACGGAAAGGCCCUGCUUUUGUGGGGUGCUCGAGUGGCGAACGGGUGAGUAACACGUGAGUAACCUGCCCUUGACUUUGGGAUAACUUCAGGAAACUGGGGCUAAUACCGGAUAGGAGCUCCUGCUGCAUGGUGGGGGUUGGAAAGUUUCGGCGGUUGGGGAUGGACUCGCGGCUUAUCAGCUUGAUGGUGGGGUAGUGGCUUACCAAGGCUUUGACGGGUAGCCGGCCUGAGAGGGUGACCGGCCACAUUGGGACUGAGAUACGGCCCAGACUCCUACGGGAGGCAGCAGGGGGGAAUAUUGCACAAUGGGCGGAAGCCUGAUGCAGCAACGCCGCGUGCGGGAUGACGGCCUUCGGGUUGUAAACCGCUUUCGCCUGUGACGAAGCGUGAGUGACGGUAAUGGGUAAAGAAGCACCGGCUAACUACGUGC
This 469-nucleotide ribosomal RNA is filed under the name uncultured bacterium. RNAcentral's name for it is "partial 16S ribosomal RNA". It matches the Rfam family "Bacterial small subunit ribosomal RNA", at positions 28 to 508 of the family's 1533-position model. The record is from RNAcentral.